AAGACACGAGGUGUGACCCGGGCUCCAGCUGCCACUUCUCAUGCUCACUGUCAUCACCUGCUCACAGGCAGACAGUCACCUUGCCUAAAGGCCGUUAUUCCCCAGUGUCCACAGCUCCAGUGCCAAGGGCUGUCCUGGGAAACGGAGCCACCCAGGCCACGAUGGGAUGAAAACGUCCCCUAAAUUCCUUCAUCUCUCCCAUCAGAUCUAUAUGAGGACAAGCUGGAACACAAGAGCUUCCCAUUUUCUGCCCUGCUCCUCUGAGCUAUUUCUGCCUGUGUUCCCAUGGCAGGACACUCGUGGUCACAAGGAGCAAAUGCUGCUGCAGGAGAGCUGAGCAGCUGCGUCAAGCAGGGGCUGCAGCCACAAAUGCACUCACCUGGGAAAGACGACGACUCGGCCAGAGAGUGUCAGGGAGGCAACCGCUGUCACCGGGGUCACCACCAUGUCCAGCAGCGAGGAGGAGGCAGGAGGGGAUGGCGGCAUGGAGCUGCUGUCAGAUGAAGCCCAAUGGGGGCACCAGUGCCCUGACGGCCGCUCCUCUUCUCCUUUUGUACAGAACACCCAAAAAAUACGGGCUGAAAGAAUAGCUGCCCGCAAAGAGGAGCUGGAGCAGGUAGAGUGAGGGCUUGUCCUCACAGCUUGGCAUCCUCACGCCUCUGGCUGUGCAGGAGGACCUCGGUCCCAAUCCCUCGGGUCCAUGGGACCCAACGCAGCCACCCCUCAUGGCACACCUGUUGUCUUGCAGGAGAAGCAGCUCAUUGCCCAGCUGGAGGAGCAGCUGAAGGCAGAGACGGAGCUGACUGAAGUAGUGUGGAGGGGCGAGAGGAGCGGGGCUGCCCAGGUUGUGCACCUGGAGGAGGGCUGCAGCGGGCGCUCAUGCUUUUGUCUUCCAGGUGCUGCGCAGGGAGAAACAGCGCCUGCGAGAGGAGCGGGAGGAGCUGGAGCUGGAGGGUGCCUGGCUGCAGCAUCAGAUGGAGCUGGAGGUGGAGCGUGAGCCUGGGGCUGUGCUGCCGGAGCUGGUGGAGGCACAGCUGGAGAAGAAGGAGCGGGCGAGGAGACGUGGGUUCUCCUUCUGGAUGCAGACCAUCUGCCUCAUCUUCGUCUGCCUCCAGCUGCUGCUCAUUGCUGUGCUGGGCUCUGCCCUAUUUUACGCCCAGCACUAUGACCAGGAGCUGCUCUAUCGGCUCCUGCUGCGGGUGCUGCCCCAGCCAAUGUACGCUUCCGUGGCGUACUUUGCAAGCAGGACCCUGCGUGUGGUCUGUGAUGGGCUGCUGCCCAUCUGACCACCCAGCUCAGUAACCCCUCCCAGCUCGGGGCUGCGUGCUGGGGCAGGGGACAGGGCUCUGUCCCCAUAGAAAUGGCCUCUUUUCUGCUCCUGUCCCCAGGGGCGCACAGGCACAGCAGUGGGGCAGUGCUGGCAGGCGGCUGAGUGCCACCACGUUGGACUUGUUGGAAAUCAGUCUGGACUGUCAUCGGGAGUCGCUGUCAGCUGAACACCACCACCUCCAGCGUUAGGUCCGACUGAAGAUAAGCACCCGACAGCAGGACGUGGCUGGAUCUACAAGCGCUGAACCACCUCGCUUUGCUGCCUCUCUGUCCCUCCUUCCCUGUCUUCUGUCUCUACUCUUGGUCUUCUUUCAUUCUAUGGCUCAUCAGAGCAGCCAUGGCCUGUAAUAAUGGCCUCUAACACUUCUUAAUCGUAAUUAGCCCAUUAGCCAAUGCUACUUCCAAUUGGUUGUUGUUAGUUGUUAAGAAAGCCCUCAAUAAAUACAUAUCUAUUAUUCCUCUCA
This 1793-nucleotide long non-coding RNA is filed under the name Coturnix japonica (Japanese quail). Its description in RNAcentral is "lncRNA (ENSCJPG00005015253.1)". Lineage: Eukaryota; Metazoa; Chordata; Aves; Galliformes; Phasianidae. The record is from RNAcentral.